Molecule: small RNA, 96 nt
Filed under: Marmota monax (woodchuck)
Lineage: Eukaryota; Metazoa; Chordata; Mammalia; Rodentia; Sciuridae
Source: RNAcentral
GCUGGGUGCAGUGGCGCACGCCUGUCAUCCCAGAGACUUGGGAGGCUGAGGCAGGAGGAUCUUAAGGCUGGGUAACAUAGGGAGAUGCUGUUUCAA